AGAGAUUGAACAUAAGAGUUUGAUCCUGGCUCAGAUUGAACGCUGGCGGCAUGCUUUACACAUGCAAGUCGGACGGCAGCACAGGGAAGCUUGCUUCUCGGGUGGCGAGUGGCGAACGGGUGAGUAACAUAUCGGAACGUACCGGGUAGCGGGGGAUAACUGAUCGAAAGAUCAGCUAAUACCGCAUACGUCUUGAGAGGGAAAGCAGGGGACCUUCGGGCCUUGCGCUAUCCGAGCGGCCGAUAUCUGAUUAGCUGGUUGGCGGGGUAAAGGCCCACCAAGGCGACGAUCAGUAGCGGGUCUGAGAGGAUGAUCCGCCACACUGGGACUGAGACACGGCCCAG
Molecule: ribosomal RNA, 344 nt
Filed under: Neisseria gonorrhoeae
Lineage: Bacteria; Pseudomonadati; Pseudomonadota; Betaproteobacteria; Neisseriales; Neisseriaceae
Description: bacterial SSU rRNA
Rfam family: Bacterial small subunit ribosomal RNA
Source: RNAcentral